UACGAAGGGGGCGAGCGUUGUUCGGAUUUACUGGGCGUAAAGCGCGCGUAGGCGGAUCGCUAAGUCAGGGGUGAAAUCCCAGGGCUCAACCCUGGAACUGCCUUUGAUACUGACGAUCUGGAGAUCGGGAGAGGUUGGUGGAAUUCCGAGUGUAGAGGUGAAAUUCGUAGAUAUUCGGAGGAACACCAGAAGCGAAGGCGGCCAACUGGCCCGAUACUGACGCUGAGGCGCGAAAGCGUGGGGAGCAAACAGG
Molecule: ribosomal RNA, 253 nt
Filed under: uncultured bacterium
Lineage: Bacteria
Description: partial 16S ribosomal RNA
Rfam family: Bacterial small subunit ribosomal RNA
Source: RNAcentral